UUUCUUCACUCCCACAUGGGGCGUCAGCUGAGAGUUAGCAGUCCAUGUGUGUCCUUUAAUACUGAUUAUUCAGUUAAAUGAGAAACCUGUAAGUGAUGACUGUUCAUUCUCAUUCUGAUCGGAUGAGCCCAUGAUGGUAAGAAGCUCCUGCUUCCUCUGAACCUCUUUAACAAUAAAGGAUGACAAAAUAUUAACUAACAGAAGAGAAACUUAGCAAGUACAGUGAGGGUCAGGAGCUGCUUCAUCUGGAGGUGAAUGUAAAUAAGAAGAAAAGGGCACACAGACAUCGAGAGAGAAGACAGAAGUUAAUGACACAAAUAGAUGGCAUAAAAACCCUAGGGGAGGGACAAGAGUUAACAGUGUGUACAGAGAUAUCAUCGGAUUGCAGUGCACCCCUGAGUCUGGUCAUGCUUUCCAUCUCAUCAAGCUCUUCUGCCCCCUGAAUGGCUAAUGUGUCAUCCCUCCGGUCCAGACAGGAACUCUGCUUUCUGAAUGUCAAGUGAAGUUAAAGCCCAAACAAAGUGAUUCCUUCACUAACAUCUACAGCCCGCAGAUAGAGCUUUGUUUACAUGAACCUCUUAAAGCAGA
Oreochromis aureus is the source of this 588-nucleotide long non-coding RNA. RefSeq lists it as uncharacterized. The transcript is spliced from 4 exons. The record is from RefSeq and is a predicted model, not a curated record. Lineage: Eukaryota; Metazoa; Chordata; Actinopteri; Cichliformes; Cichlidae.